ACUCAAAGGAAUAGACGGGGACCCGCACAAGCGGUGGAUUAUGUGGAUUAAUUCGAUGCAACGCGAAAAACCUUACCUACCCUUGACAUGUAGCGAACCCGGUGGAGACAUCGGGGUGCCCGAAAGGGAGCGCUAACACAGGUGCUGCAUGGCUGUCGUCAGCUCGUGUCGUGAGAUGUUGGGUUAAGUCCCGCAACGAGCGCAACCCUUGCCAUUAGUUGCGACAUUUAGUUGAGCACUCUAAUGGGACUGCCGGUGACAAACCGGAGGAAGGUGGGGAUGACGUCAAGUCCUCAUGGCCCUUAUGGGUAGGGCCUCACACGUAAUACAAUGGCGCAUACAGAGGGCUGCGAAGUCGCGAGACGGAGCCAAUCCCUUCAAAGUGCGUCGUAGUCCGGAUCGGAGUCUGCAACUCGACUCCGUGAAGUCGGAAUCGCUAGUAAUCGCGGAUCAGCAUGUCGCGGUGAAUACGUUCCCGGGUCUUGUACACACCGCCCGU
Molecule: ribosomal RNA, 499 nt
Filed under: uncultured bacterium
Lineage: Bacteria
Description: partial 16S ribosomal RNA
Rfam family: Bacterial small subunit ribosomal RNA
Source: RNAcentral